GCGCAAGUGGCGGAAUUGGCAGACGCGCAGGAUUUAGGUUCCUGUGCCUUCGGGUGUGCGGGUUCAAGUCCCGCCUUGCGCA
Molecule: transfer RNA, 82 nt
Filed under: Pedococcus dokdonensis
Lineage: Bacteria; Bacillati; Actinomycetota; Actinomycetes; Micrococcales; Intrasporangiaceae
Description: Phycicoccus dokdonensis tRNA_Leu_TAG
Rfam family: tRNA
About the family: Transfer RNA (tRNA) molecules are approximately 80 nucleotides in length. Their secondary structure includes four short double-helical elements and three loops (D, anti-codon, and T loops).
Source: RNAcentral